Molecule: long non-coding RNA, 480 nt
Organism: Helianthus annuus (common sunflower)
Lineage: Eukaryota; Viridiplantae; Streptophyta; Magnoliopsida; Asterales; Asteraceae
Exons: 3
Source: RefSeq, a predicted model, not a curated record
CUCACACACCUUAUGUGAGCUGUGAUCGACCAAACACCCCUGUACAAGAACUCAUCUUUUAAAGACCCUAAAUUCAUCAAAUUACCAUCAAAAAUCAAAGAAGGAAAUCAAAUUGGAAUCAAUUUCAAGUGAAAUUAGUGAUCAUUAUACUUAGAAGGAUCACAAGGCAAUUUGGGUGGAUCGUCUAGUAAUCAAGGAGGAACGGAUAAUCGUUUGAAAGGAAAGCUUUAAAGGUAGCUUACAUGAUAUUGCGGAUGACGAUCCAUCAUGAUAAACGAACCGAACACGCGCACAAAAGAAGCUUCCGCAAAUGAAAUUCAUAACUUUUGUUAUUAAAUACUUUGGUGUAGUUUUAUCAAAUGUUUGUAAAUAUGGUACAAAUGUUUUGCAAGUUAAGUAUGUGCUAGUAAACAAGAUGUUCUAAAUCUUUGUAAACUUCGUUUUGAAGGUUUUGAACUCUAUGUAACUGUCGGUUUAUCA